CGGUAAAGAUUUAUUGCUCUUGGAACGGGCUGCGGUCUAUCAGCUAGUUGGUACGGUAACGGCGUACCAAGGCUACGACGGAUAGGGGGGGUGAGAGCCCGGUCCCCACCGAUGGAACUGAGACACGGUCCAUACUCCUACGGGAGGCCGCAGUCGAGAAUCUUCCGCAAUGGACGAAAGUCUGACGGAGCGACGCCGCGUGGUGGAUGAAGUCCCUCGGGACGUAAACACCUUUUAUGAGUGAAGAAGUUUAUUGACAUUAGCUCAUGAAUAAGGGGCUCCCAACUCUGUGCCAGCAGGAGCGGUAAUACAGAGGCCCCAAGCAUUAUCCGGAUUCACUGGGCGUAAAGGGUGCGUAGGCGGUUAUAUUAGUCGGGUGUUAAAUCCUUGGGCUCAACCCAAGGCUCGCAUUCGAAACGGUAUAACUAGAAGGAGUCAGAGGUAAGCAGAACUCUCGGUGUAGGGGUGAAAUCCGUUGAUAUCGAGGGGAAUACCAAAUGCGAAGGCAGCUUACUGGGACUUUCUUGACGCUGAGGCACGAAAGCGUGGGUAGCGAACGGGAUUAGAUACCCCGGUAGUCCACGCCCUAAACGCUGUCUGUUGGCUUUGGGGGGAAUCGACCCCCUCCGAGGCGAAGUUAACACGUUAAACAGACCGCCUGGGUAGUACGAGCGCAAGCUUAAAACUCAAAGGAAUAGACGGGGGCUCGCACAAGCGGUGGAUCAUGUGGCUUAAUUCGUCGAUAAGCGAAAAACCUUACCAAGGCUAGAAAUCAUACUGCACGCUUCGGGAAACCGAAGAAGCCUUCGAGGGUGUAUGACAGGUGAUGCAUGGCCGUCGUCAGUUCGUGGCUUGAGCUGUUCCCUUAAGUGGGGAAACGAACGCAACCCUCGUUGCCUGUUACAAGUGUCAGGCGAGACUGCUCCCUCACGGGAGAGGAAGGUGAGGAUGACGCCAGGUCAGCAUGUCCCUUGAUGCCUUGGGCCGCACACGUGAUACAAUGGGACGUACAACGGGACGCAAUACCGCAAGGUGGAGCAAAUCCUAAUAAAACGUUCCUCAGUUCGGAUUGUGGGCUGCAACUCGCCCGCAUGAA
This 1096-nucleotide ribosomal RNA is filed under the name uncultured organism. Its description in RNAcentral is "bacterial SSU rRNA". It matches the Rfam family "Bacterial small subunit ribosomal RNA", at positions 199 to 1324 of the family's 1533-position model. The record is from RNAcentral.